Nylanderia fulva is the source of this 1308-nucleotide long non-coding RNA. RefSeq lists it as uncharacterized. NCBI's taxonomy places the organism in Eukaryota, Metazoa, Arthropoda, Insecta, Hymenoptera, Formicidae. The record is from RefSeq and is a predicted model, not a curated record.
UACAAUCUCGAUAAAGAAUUCUCGUCGUUUCUCCAACGUUUACGAACAGUUUCGACUGACACGAAACUGAAUACUUACUGGGAGGAACUCUUGGAACGACGAUCAAUCUCGAGUCUCUGUAGACGCGCCGGCAACACGUCGUCCUCGUCGCUCAUAGUCGUCACCAGGCUGCGAGCUAUUUUCGCAACAUCGGAUUUGACAGCCGAGUGUCUCGCAAGGAUCCGGAAUAAACACAACAAACCGCGAGACGACGAGUCGCGCGGAUAGGUUAGAACGUAGACAGCAGGGACGAGGAUGACGACAUUACGAUGCGACUUGUGCACGACGAUGGCGUAGCGACCGAUCGUUCCCCGUCCCCGUCCUCUCGUCGACUUUGACAGCUCGCGUGCGGCUUUCCGCGCGAGCGUUUGACAGCGCCCGCGAGAAGUGACAGGACGCGUCCGCGUCGAAUCUGUGCGAGCAGCUUCGGAGGCGUGGAAAACUCGCGAUCAAUUAAUCACACACAACGAUGGCGUACGUAAAUAAACACUGCUACUGCGCGGCAUCGGAGACCAGCGACUCCCGAAGACACCGGAAGAAGAUGUCGUCCUAGAUGGCGCUACGAGCGCGAGAUCGCGUCAUCCUAUUGGUCGAAAUUCGCCGCGACAUUUUGUUGUUGACCGCGAAGACUUCUGGAAGCGUCAAGAGCGUGCUUUGGAUUCAACGAAUCAAUUCAUGUUAAUAUUGGUGUGUCCUGAUCAAAUUGAUUGGUGCAGUGACAGUGCAAGUUGGUGGAAGCGAAAAUUCGCAGUAUGAAAUACGAAAUAUCCAGUGACGGUACAAGUUGAUGGAAGCAAAAAUUCGCAGUACGAAAUAUGAAAUAUCCAGGAUGACGGCAAUGAUCCUGUAGCAGAAGACAGCGCUGUAACGGCGGCGGCGGUGGCUCCUCGCGACGAUGUCGGUGACGAUGAUGGUGAUGCCGAUGAUGGUGAUGGAGAAUCGAGGCGGAAGAGGAGGAAGCGGAGCCGGGUGGGACCGGCUCGUGCACCAGCAAUCGACGAUGAUGAAGGUGACGCGAUAUCGUCGCCAGGACACCCACCAGUGCUCCGACUAUCAGCACGAGCGCCGCCGAGACGAUGUAGCCGCUCGCACUCACUGCAAACAAACAUUAGACAUUGCGAUUAGUCUACGAAUUUCCAUCGAAAAACUCGUCUGUCAGUCUUUGUCAUUUUCACACUUAUAUCCCGUAUCACCAUUUCUCAAUGACAAGUUAUCGUUCGUGUUGAUCAUUAUUUGAUAUAUAUGUGUAAAGGAAUCUCUCUCUUUCUU